This 483-nucleotide ribosomal RNA is filed under the name uncultured bacterium. RNAcentral describes it as "partial 16S ribosomal RNA". It matches the Rfam family "Bacterial small subunit ribosomal RNA", at positions 28 to 507 of the family's 1533-position model. The record is from RNAcentral.
GACGAACGCUGGCGGCGUGCUUAACACAUGCAAGUCGAACGCUGAAGCUCAGCUUUUGUUGGGUGGAUGAGUGGCGAACGGGUGAGUAACACGUGAGUAACCUGCCUCCUUCUUUGGGAUAACGCCCGGAAACGGGUGCUAAUACUGGAUAUUCACUGGUCUUCGCAUGGGGGUUGGUGGAAAGGGUUUUUCUGGUGGGGGAUGGGCUCGCGGCCUAUCAGCUUGUUGGGGGGGUGAUGGCCUACCAAGGCUUUGACGGGUAGCCGGCCUGAGAGGGUGACCGGUCACAUUGGGACUGAGAUACGGCCCAGACUCCUACGGGAGGCAGAAGUGGGGAAUAUUGCACAAUGGGCGCAAGCCUGAUGCAGCGACGCCGCGUGAGGGAUGGAGGCCUUCGGGUUGUGAACCUCUUUCGCUCAUGGUCAAGCCGCAACAAUGGUUGUGGUGAGGGUAGUGGGUAAAGAAGCGCCGGCUAACUACGUG